This 253-nucleotide ribosomal RNA is filed under the name uncultured bacterium. RNAcentral describes it as "partial 16S ribosomal RNA". It matches the Rfam family "Bacterial small subunit ribosomal RNA", at positions 524 to 776 of the family's 1533-position model. The record is from RNAcentral.
UACAGAGGUCUCGAGCGUUGUUCGGAUUCAUUGGGCGUAAAGCGCACGUAGGCGGAUUUGUAAGUCAGGGGUGAAAUCCCGGGGCUCAACCUCGGAACUGCCUUUGAUACUGCGAAUCUCGAGUCCGAUAGAGGUGGGUGGAAUUCCUAGUGUAGAGGUGAAAUUCGUAGAUAUUAGGAAGAACACCGGUGGCGAAGGCGGCCCACUGGAUCGGUACUGACGCUGAGGUGCGAAAGCGUGGGGAGCAAACAGG